GGAUAUCGGGACGAAAGACCGCGCGAGGACGACGGAUGCGAGUCCCAUCGAAUUUUUGAUUUACACACUACCUGAACGAGACUUAAAUUUAUCAUCGCAUAACCCGUUCGGAGGGGACCGGCUGUCUAUCCUCGUUGUCGUGAGUCGGACACCCGUGCCGUCGCUAGAGUUUUUCAAACUCUGCUUCUGGAUAUCGGGACGAAAGACCGCGCGAGGACGAUGGCUGCGAGUCCCAUCGAAUUUUUGUUUUUUUUUUUUUUUUUUAAAGAAAAAACACCACCCGAACGGAGAUGUGUUCUAUCUUUCGUCGAUUUUUCAUGCUUUCAGUCGGUCGCGUGGUCGCCAUCCGUUCGGAGGGGAUCGCCGGCUUCGAAACCUCGAUGUCGUGAGUCGGACACCCGUGCCGUCGCUAGAGUUUUUCAAACUCUGCUUCUGGAUAUUGGGACGAAAGACCGCUCGAGGCGGACGGCCGCGCGAAUCCCAUCGAAUCUUUACUAUCACCCGAACGAUGGAGAGAUGCACGCGCGCUGUUUCUUGAAUAAUUGGACGAGAGAGUAGAAUCAAACACAUAUAUAACAUGGGCUAGCCACCGUGCUUACUCGUUCGCGAGAUCGUGUGCUGUACAGAGGAUUCAGAAUCGGGUGUAUAUAUCCCCGUCGUUUCCUGACGAACGGAGCUUCGAUCUCGAUGGUUGUUAUAUAUCAUAAUGUACUUUACGCCCGGCCGGCGAACGCGCGUAUCUUCGCGCGUUCGUCGUUUUCUUUUUUUUUUCGAACGUUUUUGUGUCGUCAAUCCUAUGGCGACUUCUGCGCGUUCGAUUCCCGUUGGUCGAACGUGACGGAACUC
Long non-coding RNA from Bombus huntii, 846 nucleotides. RefSeq lists it as uncharacterized. The record is from RefSeq and is a predicted model, not a curated record. Lineage: Eukaryota; Metazoa; Arthropoda; Insecta; Hymenoptera; Apidae. The transcript is spliced from 2 exons.